Molecule: ribosomal RNA, 440 nt
Filed under: uncultured bacterium
Lineage: Bacteria
Description: partial 16S ribosomal RNA
Rfam family: Bacterial small subunit ribosomal RNA
Source: RNAcentral
CCUACGGGUGGCAGCAGUGGGGGAUAUUGCACAAUGGGGGGAACCCUGAUGCAGCGACGCCGCGUGAGCGAUGAAGUCCCUCGGUAUGUAAAGUUCUAUCAGCAGGGAAGAAAAUGACGGUACCUGACUAAUAAGCCUCGGCUAACUACGUGCCAGCAGCCGCGGUCAUACGUAUGGGGCGAGCGUUAUCCGGAUUUACUGGGUGUAAAGGGAGCGCAUGCGGCCUGCCAGGUCUGGUGUGAAAACCCGGGGCCCAACCCCGGGACUACAUUGGAAAAUGGCGGGCUGGAGAGUCGGAGGGGCAGGCGGAAUUCCUAGUGUAGCAGUGAAAUGCGUAGAUAUUAGGAGGAACACCGGUGGCGAAGGCAGGCUGCUGGACGGUGACUGACGCUGAGGCUCGAAAGCGUAGGGAGCAAACGGGAUUAGAUACCCGGGUAGUC